GCUCGGGUGGUGGAAUGGCAGACACACCAGAUUUAGGUUCUGGCGCCGAAAGGUAUGCGGGUUCGACUCCCGCCCCGAGCA
This 81-nucleotide transfer RNA is filed under the name Opitutia bacterium. RNAcentral describes it as "Opitutae bacterium tRNA-Leu". It matches the Rfam family "tRNA". From Rfam's summary of the family: Transfer RNA (tRNA) molecules are approximately 80 nucleotides in length. Their secondary structure includes four short double-helical elements and three loops (D, anti-codon, and T loops). Further hydrogen bonds mediate the characteristic L-shaped molecular structure. tRNAs have two regions of fundamental functional importance: the anti-codon, which is responsible for specific mRNA codon recognition, and the 3' end, to which the tRNAs corresponding amino acid is attached (by aminoacyl-tRNA synthetases). tRNAs cope with the degeneracy of the genetic code in two manners: having more than one tRNA (with a specific anti-codon) for a particular amino acid; and 'wobble' base-pairing, i.e. permitting non-standard base-pairing at the 3rd anti-codon position. RNAcentral also lists the same sequence under 1 other name. Lineage: Bacteria; Pseudomonadati; Verrucomicrobiota; Opitutia. The record is from RNAcentral.